Molecule: ribosomal RNA, 501 nt
Filed under: uncultured bacterium
Lineage: Bacteria
Description: partial 16S ribosomal RNA
Rfam family: Bacterial small subunit ribosomal RNA
Source: RNAcentral
AUUGAACGCUGGCGGCAGGCUUAACACAUGCAAGUCGAGCGGGGAAGGGUAGCUUGCUACCUGACCUAGCGGCGGACGGGUGAGUAAUGCUUAGGAAUCUGCCUAUUAGUGGGGGACGACAUUCCGAAAGGAAUGCUAAUACCGCAUACGCCCUACGGGGGACAGCAGGGGAUCUUCGGACCUUGCGCUAAUAGAUGAGCCUAAGUCAGAUUAGCUAGUUGGUGGGGUAAAGGCCUACCAAGGCGACGAUCUGUAGCGGGUCUGAGAGGAUGAUCCGCCACACUGGGACUGAGACACGGCCCAGACUCCUACGGGAGGCAGCAGUGGGGAAUAUUGGACAAUGGGCGCAAGCCUGAUCCAGCCAUGCCGCGUGUGUGAAGAAGGCCUUUUGGUUGUAAAGCACUUUAAGCGAGGAGGAGGCUACUGAGAUUAAUACUCUUGGAUAGUGGACGUUACUCGCAGAAUAAGCACCGGCUAACUCUGUGCCAGCCGCCGCAGUAA